GAUGAACGCUGGCGGCGUGCCUAAUACAUGCAAGUCGAGCGAACGGACGAGAAGCUUGCUUCUCUGAUGUUAGCGGCGGACGGGUGAGUAACACGUGGAUAAUCUACCUAUAAGACUGGGAUAACUUCGGGAAACCGGAGCUAAUACCGGAUGAUAUUUUGAACCGCAUGGUUCAAAAGUGAAAGACGGUCUUGCUGUCACUUAUAGAUGGAUCCGCGCUGCAUUAGCUAGUUGGUAAGGUAACGGCUUACCAAGGCAACGAUGCAUAGCCGACCUGAGAGGGUGAUCGGCCACACUGAAACUGAGACACGGUCCAGACUCCUACGGGAGGCAGCAGUAGGGUAUCUUCCGCAAUGGGCGAAGGCCUGACGGAGCAACGCCGCGUGAGUGAUGAAGGUCUUCGGAUCGUAAAACUCUGUUAUUAGUGAAGAACAUAUGUGUAAGUAACUGUGCACAUCUUGACGGUACCUAAUCAGAAAGCCACGGCUAACUACGU
RNAcentral lists this ribosomal RNA (496 nucleotides) under uncultured bacterium. RNAcentral describes it as "partial 16S ribosomal RNA". It matches the Rfam family "Bacterial small subunit ribosomal RNA", at positions 28 to 506 of the family's 1533-position model. The record is from RNAcentral.